GACGAACCGUGCGAACGUUGUUCGGAAUCACUGGGCUUAAAGGGCGCGUAGGCGGGAUGGCAAGUCGGUCGUGAAAUCUCUCGGCUCAACCGAGAAACGUCGGCCGAUACUGCCGUUCUUGAGGGAUGCAGAGGAGACUGGAAUUCCCGGUGUAGCGGUGAAAUGUGUAGAGAUCGGGAGGAACACCGGUGGCGAAGGCGGGUCUCUGGGCAUUUCCUGACGCUGAGGCGCGAAAGCGUGGGGAGCAAACGGG
RNAcentral lists this ribosomal RNA (253 nucleotides) under uncultured bacterium. RNAcentral's name for it is "partial 16S ribosomal RNA". It matches the Rfam family "Bacterial small subunit ribosomal RNA", at positions 524 to 776 of the family's 1533-position model. The record is from RNAcentral.